RNAcentral lists this ribosomal RNA (889 nucleotides) under Bacillus cereus. RNAcentral's name for it is "bacterial SSU rRNA". It matches the Rfam family "Bacterial small subunit ribosomal RNA", at positions 26 to 895 of the family's 1533-position model. Lineage: Bacteria; Bacillati; Bacillota; Bacilli; Caryophanales; Bacillaceae. The record is from RNAcentral.
UAGAUGACGCUGGCGGCGUGCCUAAUACAUGCAAGUCGAGCGAAUGGAUUAAGAGCUUGCUCUUAUGAAGUUAGCGGCGGACGGGUGAGUAACACGUGGGUAACCUGCCCAUAAGACUGGGAUAACUCCGGGAAACCGGGGCUAAUACCGGAUAACAUUUUGAACCGCAUGGUUCGAAAUUGAAAGGCGGCUUCGGCUGUCACUUAUGGAUGGACCCGCGUCGCAUUAGCUAGUUGGUGAGGUAACGGCUCACCAAGGCAACGAUGCGUAGCCGACCUGAGAGGGUGAUCGGCCACACUGGGACUGAGACACGGCCCAGACUCCUACGGGAGGCAGCAGUAGGGAAUCUUCCGCAAUGGACGAAAGUCUGACGGAGCAACGCCGCGUGAGUGAUGAAGGCUUUCGGGUCGUAAAACUCUGUUGUUAGGGAAGAACAAGUGCUAGUUGAAUAAGCUGGCACCUUGACGGUACCUAACCAGAAAGCCACGGCUAACUACGUGCCAGCAGCCGCGGUAAUACGUAGGUGGCAAGCGUUAUCCGGAAUUAUUGGGCGUAAAGCGCGCGCAGGUGGUUUCUUAAGUCUGAUGUGAAAGCCCACGGCUCAACCGUGGAGGGUCAUUGGAAACUGGGAGACUUGAGUGCAGAAGAGGAAAGUGGAAUUCCAUGUGUAGCGGUGAAAUGCGUAGAGAUAUGGAGGAACACCAGUGGCGAAAGCGACUUUCUGGUCUGUAACUGACACUGAGGCGCGAUAGCGUGGGAAGCAAACAGGAUUAGAUACCCUUGGUAGUCCACGCCGUAACAAUGAUUGCUAUUGUUAGAAGGGUUUCCGCCCUUUUAUGCUGAAAUAAACGCAUUAACACUCCGCCUGGGGAGAUCGGACCGCAAGGCU